This is an RNA transcript of Hemiscyllium ocellatum (epaulette shark), 3973 nucleotides long. It is a transcript of the gene named nectin-1-like, with no coding region annotated. The transcript has 11 exons. NCBI's taxonomy places the organism in Eukaryota, Metazoa, Chordata, Chondrichthyes, Orectolobiformes, Hemiscylliidae. The record is from RefSeq and is a predicted model, not a curated record.
AUGUUAUCAAACAUUAUCUCUGGGUCAGAUGGGACUUGAACCUGACGCACACCAGCUGAAAACAUAAUGUCAUGAGACUCGCUAGAUUUCCAUCAGUUGGAGCAAGUUUUCGAGGUGGAGCGAAGGGUCUGUUUGUGUGCUGCACAUCUGUGUGACUGCACUGUAAAUGCUGGAGAUCAUAGCGGGUCAGACAGCACCAAUGGAGAGAGAGAGAGAGAGCUCACAUUCAGGGUGUGAGCUCCAGCAUUUGUUGUUUACUCUCAGUGACGUACAGACUGUGUUGGUGCUUUUCACCGCCUGGUUCAGUGGUUUGGAGAAUACACAAGUGCAGAUAUGCUCAACAGAACUCUCUACAGAACAUUAACAACCAAAACGAAACAUGGGGAAGUGUUUUUGUACAUGUUCUGCCGCUGAGAGUUUGGCUCGAUUAUCGCUUCAUCCCUGCGAAAAGACAGUGUGUAAUGGCGAUUUGCAGGAGUUGGGUCGCUCUUGUUUUGCUGUUAUUCGUGUGGAAUCCUGGCUCCGAGGCUGCAGAUCCAAAAAAACUGAACGAUCCCCAGAUUUUGAGAUCUGUAGGUGAUGAUGCCCUGCUGCCGUGUACAAUUAAUACUGAACAAACUGUCUCACAAUUCAUGUGGCAACACAGGCGUGGUCAACAACAAUGGAACUUUUUCACAGCAAUUUUCAAAAAUGGAAAGGAUGAAAGACCUGACGAUAUAUUUGACGGCAGAAUGACCUACGUUGGCCAAAGUUCCAAAAAUGCAUCGAUGUAUUUGAGAAAUAUUACCCCAAGUGAUGAGGGGAUAUACAAAUGUAUUUUCACUUUAUUCCCUGAUGGGCCUGUUGAAGAGGACAUACAGCUAAUCGUAAGAGCUCCUCCGACUGUUACCAUCAAAACAUAUCCAGACUUUUCUCUGAUUGACUGCUGGAAACGCCUCGUUGUCAUCUGUACAGCAGCAAAUGCAAAGCCAGCCGCCAGUAUCACUUGGCAAACCCCUUUUGUUGUACAUACCAAUGAAAAUAUUGGGCCUCCUGCUGAAAAUGGGACUGUGACUGUCUCUAACAGGUUUCAACUGUGUCCGAAUAAAUCGCUUCAUGGGCAGAAGAUUGUCUGUGUUGUGGAACAUCCAACCUUCAUAGCUUCAAAACAAGUUCCUUAUCAGCUGACCAUUGACUACAUGUCAUCAGCUUUUAUUGACCAUCAGAUGACUGAAGAUGGCGGCUUAUACCUGAUUUGUAUUGCAGACGCUAAUCCACCUCCGACUGAAUACAUCUGGACAAAGAAGAAUGACUCUAUUCCAGAAGGUGUGAUAAUACAAAAUGACAAAAUUAAAUUCUCCAAGUUGACUCCUGGACUUAAUGGGCUUUAUAUAUGUGAAGCAAGCAACACCGCUGGGACUGCAUCAGGAUCCUUUUAUUUUUUUCCAAUUGCAGAUGAUCAGCAGCCACGUCAUUACAAGGUGCCCUUCAUCAUCGUAAUCCUGAUGCUGAUAAUUCUGCUCGGCGUUCUCAGCUAUCUUUAUCAUAGAGCACGUAAAGAAACAUACACAAAGAAAUAGUGACAAAGAAACUUCCCCAGAAAUGGAUGUCCCUGAGACGUUCCCAAGGCUCCAAACAGAACGUGGUGAGGUGGAAGGAAAUGAAUCAUCUGUUUAAUCAAAUUGAUGACAGAUUCAACUGGAGCAUCAAAGAACAAAGAAAGAACAAAGAAAAUUUACAGCCCAGGAACAGGCCCUUCAGCCCUCCAAGCCUGGGCUGAUCCAAUACCACUGGCUAAACCUGUCGCCCAGUUCCUAAGCACCUGUAUCCCUCUGCUCCCCACCUAGUCAUGCAUCUGUCCAGAUGCAUCUGAAAUGAAUCUACCAUGCCUACCUCUACCACCUGCGCUGGCAACGCAUUCCAGACACCCACCACCCUCUGUGUAAAAUACUUGCCACAUGUAUGCCCUUUAACCUUUCACUUCUCACCUUGAAAGCGUGACCUCUCGUUAUUGAAUCCUUCACCCUGGGAAAAAGCUUAUGUCUAUCUAUCCUGUCUAAUACCCUUCAUGAUUUUGUAAACAUCAAUCUCCUUUUCUCUCAUGAAAACAAACCUAACCGACACAACUGCUCUUCAUAGCUAGCACCUUCCUUACCAGGCAACAUCCUCGUAAACUUUCUCUGCACCCUCUCCAAAGCAUCCACAUCUUUUUGGGAAUGUCGCAACGAGAAAUGUACACAGUAUUCGAAAUGCGGCCGAACUAAUGUCUUGUACAAUUUUAAUAUGACCUGCCAGCUCUUAUUCUCAAUACCCCGUCCGAUGAAGGCAAGCAUACCAUAUGCCUUCUUGACCACUCUAUCCACCUGUGCAGCAACCUUCAGGGUACAAUGGACCUGCACUCCCAGAUCUCUCUGCUCAUCAACUUUUCCCAAGGCUCUUCCAUUCACUUUGUAAUUCGCUCUAGAACUAGACUUGCCUAAAUGCAUCACCUCACAUUUGUCUGGACUGAACUCCAUCUGCCACUUCUCCGCCCAACUCUCCAGUCUAUCUAUAUUCUCCUGUAUUCUUUGACAGUGCCUUAUGCUUUCUGCUACUCCCCCAAUGUUCGUGUCAUCUGCAAACUUGCUCAUCAUACCAACAGUGUCUUCUUCCAAAUCAUUUAUGCAUAUCACAAACAACAGCGGCCCCAGCACCAAUCCCUGUGGAACACCACUGGUCAGCUUUCUCCAUUCCGAGAGACUCCCUUCAACUACUACUCUCUGUCUCCUGUUGUUCAACCAGUUCUUUAUCCACCUAGCUGGAACACCAUGCACACCAUGUGACCUCACUUUCUCUAUUAGUUUACCAUGGGGAACCUUUGUCUUAUCAAUGAGUCUGAAGACCAAACCACUGUGACAGUCAGCCUUCCAGAGUCAGAAUUCCUACAGUCUAGAAACAGGCCCUUUGGCCCAACAACUUCACACCAACUCUCUGAAAAGUAUCCCACCCAGACCCAUUACCCUACCUUGUUAGUGUACAUCUCCCCUGACUAAUGCACCUAACCUACACAACCCUGAACACUAUGGGCAAUUUAACUUGCCCAAUACACCUAACCUACACAUGUUGGAGUGUGGGAGGAAACUGGAGCACGAGAUGAAAUCCACACAGACACGAGGAGAACAUGCAGACUCCACACAGACAAUCACCUGAGGCUGGAAUCGAACCCUGGUCCCUGGCAAUGUGAGGGUACAGAGCAAACCACUGAGCCACGGUGCCUCACAGUUAUCCUGACAUUGCUUUUGAUUUGUUUGUGGCCUGCAUCUCGUAAAACAUUUGAGGAGCUGUUCUACUGUGCUUUAAUCAUGAUACUGUGUAAUGGAAUGGUCUCUGUAAAUCUGGGUCUUUCAAGUUCAUUAGCUGCUGUUUUAGCGUGUUACCCAGCAUGGUGAUGAAACGUCUGAAAAUGAACCUUCCAGCUCAGCGAGCAAACUUACAUCCAGAACCUGAGCUACAAAUCUUAUCAAAAUUCGCUACUCCUCUUAAAGCUACAAUAUUGUCACAUCCUUAAACAGAGAUCACCGAUUCAUCCAAGUCGGGUAGAUGGAACAGGACACAUACCUCGAGAAAUAGCCUCACUGUGGAGAAAGUGAGGUCUGCAGAUGCUGGAGAUCAGAGCUGAAAAUGUGUUGCUGGAAAAGCGCAGCAGGUCAGGCAGCAUCCAAGGAACAGGAAAUUCGACGUUUCGGGCAUAAGCCCUUCAUCAGGAAUGCCUCACUGUCCCAACUCCCAUACUUAAUGAACUGAGCAAGGAAAGCAAUGCCUUAUUAAACACCCCAACCGUAUGUGACUCAGAAUUAUAUGCCUGACUCCUCAGUGUCCUUAUUCUAUAACACUAUCCAAGCUUCAGCUUUUAAUUGUAUAAGUCCUGUUCUUGUUUGUUUUACCCCACGUUUAUCCACAUGAAGCACCAUGUGCCACAUCACUCUCAGAGACACUGGAUUGCAAAAAGCCAUAU